Molecule: non-coding RNA, 3956 nt
Organism: Aegilops tauschii subsp. strangulata
Lineage: Eukaryota; Viridiplantae; Streptophyta; Magnoliopsida; Poales; Poaceae
Source: RefSeq, a predicted model, not a curated record
GGACUGGGGCCGGCUUUCUGUUUCCAGCCAAUGAAAUGAAACGAGGGGAGUUCUGCCUUUGGGCCUCGUCCUUCCUUCGUUCAGAAGAAAGAAAAGGGGAGAUGAACCUUGAGCCCCACGCACCUUUCUUUCCCGAGCACGCAACCUCUCCUCCCUUUUUCAGAAAAACACCAUCCUUCGACCUGGAUCGGCUCACGCGACCGUCGGGCCAUGUCGCCGCCGACGCCGACGCCUGCCAGCGGCGGCAGGCUGGAUCUGGACGGCGUGCUCGUAGCGCUGCUCACCAUCUGUGUGAUCUGGGCCGACGGGUUCAUCUCCUCCCACGUCUGUGAGAAGCUCAUGGCCGAAACCCCGCACUCCGUCCUCGCCGUCGACCACCUCGUCGACCCACCCCCGCCCCACCUCGCCGGCGGCAUCUCUUCCGCUGCCUCAACCUCAUGAACAACUCCCGCCUGGAGGGCCUCAUCAAGAUGUCCGAUCUGGUUUGGAUAGUGGGAGAAAAAUUGGGUGAAGGCAUUGGUAGUACAAGGAAAGAAGUACAACAUCAGGCUGCAGAAAUAUCUUUAAGAAAUUUGGCAAGAGAUUAUGGAGUGUAAUUCUUCAGAUGUACAAAUGUCACAUUGUGCUGAGGGUUCCGAGACUACAAUAGAGACCAAAAUCAAGACUUUGGAUUCUCAAACAUACAAUUUGCAUGUGAAUAAAUGUGUAAGUUGACAAUCCAUGCCGUAUCACAGCGAACCAUGGUGUUUGCAUUGUUUGUGUGGUUUUGUGCUGUACUAUGUAAAAACUCGGUUGUUUGCAUGCAGUAUUUAUUCAAAAUUAGUCAGAUUCCUGCGAUGUUCUCCUAUUUGUUCUCAUUGAAAUUACUGUUGCAUUUUUGACAAGAAAUUUACAGAUAACUGUAUGGCAAUUUUCUUCUAAUUCCCGUAAGUAAUUUUGAGAACACACCAGUACAUCCAUAUUUCAUAAGCAAUGUGUUAGUUGGAUGCCACCUCGGUGGGAUCGGCCGCCUGCGUCGUGUAGUGAGGAGGGGAAGGUGGAGAGAUGGCAGAUGUAGGGGCGGACUGGUGUAGGGGUGGCUGCGGGAGAAGAUGGGACCUCUCCUCUCCCCCGAGUCUAUUGCGGCCGCCUCUCCUCCCAUGUCACUAGGGCCUCGCCCUCACUAGGCAUCGGCAACCUCCCAGCCCUCCUUCCCCGUGCAUGGCUUCCCCAGGAAACUUUGCCUAGGCUUGCGUAUUGUUGCUUUUCGUCAAUGCAUCAAGACACAAUGCCUUUGUGUUUUCUGUUUGAAAAUGAUUAUCUCUUGUACUCUGCAGUCUUCCUUUGGAUUUUUUUGACUACUAUGAUCAGAUUUCAUAUGUCAGCAGCUCUUGCAAUAAUCACCCUUCAUGGUCAUCACAUGAAAGUUCUAAUGUUUAACUGAUUUCAGCAACUCAGAUUUUAGAGUCCUGAAUCAACUUCUAAUGCCGUUCACUUUGAAAUCCACCCAGAUAAGGUCAAGCAAUCAAGGUGAAGUUGGGGUAUGCAAGUACACCGUGGGAGGAUACAUCUGUGAGAUGUAUUUAUAAAACCUUCUCGUGUCUUGUCUUCAUUUUCUAAUUUAACCCUUCUAUGGUUAACCAUAAUUAACCAUUGAAUUAUUCCAUGGCAUUUCCAUAUUUUUGUUGCAAUUUAUGUUCUGAAGCGAAUGCUGCCACUCUUUAUUGCUGUUUCUCGACAUAUGAUUCUUGUAUGUAAGUUUUUAGUUCAAUGUAACAUGUUAACGGAUGCCUUAAGUUUGCUCGUAUAGCAUAUGCUUUCAUAUUUUGAUUUGAUAUUCAGUAGAUCAAAUUUGUUGUAUCUAUAUCAGGUAUAUCUUCUUGUUAUGCUAAUCUAGCAUGGCACAUUUCGUAAAUGAUUUCCCAUUUGUUUCUACUACUUCUGUUUUGAUGUAGCUUUUCAGUUGUUCAUGUGCGCCAUUUAUGAUCAGGGAUGCUCGAGUCAUGUGGGAUAAUAAAACCGGACACUCCAGAGGUUAUGGCUUUGUCUUAUUCUGCAGUCAGCAGGCAUGCACAACUCAGAUCAUUUCCCUUUUGCAUUUUGCAGUAGCUUUACCAUUUUGAUGGCAUGAGUCAAAUACCCUCGAUGUAAUAUUUUGGUGUCUGAGUGAUACCGAUGGCUUUUGCAAUGCCUAAAUUUUAACUCGGUGAAUUAUAUUUUUCUUGUGUUACCAAUCAAGGAUCCUCUCUUCUCUCGGAAUAUCGAUGUUUCUUUCUGACAUUUCUCAAAAGCGUAUCACAGCCACCUUACAUUUUCCGUGUCAUAUGGAAGGUCUUCUUUGUUAAUUGAGUGAAUAUUUUUCUUGUAGUUUUACCUUUGGUUACUUCUAUGUCAUUCUGUUGAUUUACGGUACAAUAAUUAUAUGUAUUAGCGUUAGGUCCUUGCAAAGAAAAGGUCAUCUUUGUGUAAGUGAUUCUACUCAAUAUGUAAUAAUGUUUUUACUACAUGAGAUGGAACUGGGCUUCCGGUUAAUAAGGAAUAUUCUAACAACUGUCUAAUGCAUGCUGAUUUUUAGUAUUAUAUGUUUCCUAUUGGUAGGUUCUUUCUGUUGAGCCACUAACAUAAGCAAAUUAGGUGUGAUUGUUAACAACAACAUUUUAUUUAUCUGUAAAUUGCAGGCACUGGACAGGUUUAAUACAGCAGUUGUGUCACCAAUAUAUUACGUGAUGUUUACUUUGUUAUGCUUGUUCUUGAUAAGAAAAUCAAGCAUUUGGCAUCUAUUGCAAUCUGGAGAUGAUCCAUAUGUGGCCUAAUUUUCUACUACUGAAUCACAAUGCUAUGUUGUGAUUACUGGCAGCAAGAGUCAGCAUGACCGCUCAUUCUGUAUGCUUUAAACUAUUUUAUUGGAGUUUACUAAUUCCAUGUACUGGAAGCAACAGCCUACAAGUUUGAUAUGUGAAAGGUUUAUUAUCUUAUAUCUUGCUUGUGUAGUGUAGGGUGGUUCGGAGGGCACCCGAAGAGAGAUCGUAUCAUAUUUCCUAUCAGUUGUUCUCUGGAUCUUCUCCCCUUCACAUAAGGUUCUUGCUUGAGAAUUGAUGGUGUUGAUGAUGCCAAAGGAUUUUCAUCAUUAUUGACUUUAAAGGAUGGAGAAAAAAGAAUGCUCUAUGAUCAGGAUUGCCGAUUUUACUUUACAAAGAGUAGCAUUUAAAAAGCGAAUGACAUUUGAUAAAUUGCUGAAAGGUGGUGGUUGCACACUAUGGGGGACAGUGUCCAAGAGAGGGCUCGGAGAUGGUUAGAGGUUAGCUACUGUUCACUAUCUAUCAAUCCUAUCUUCAUGUACCUGUGUGUGUUUGGUACAGUACUUGAUCUCUUAUGAUUUAGGGAGCUCUUCAGAUCUAAGAAGAAAUUGAUGUAAGAUUUAUUUUCAUAUUCUUGGAAACUCAUGCUAUGGAGAAUCAUAAUGAUAUUCUCAUUGUACAGGCGGUGCAAGGUCUAACAUGAUUGUGCUGAUGCUCUCUCCUUUGUAGAGGACCAUCCCGAUGUCUGGGUUUCGGCAUGGUGGUGAGGUGCCUGAGGUCACGGCUCUGAGUCAGGAACCUCUUAUUGAGCGUGCCAGUACUUCAUGGUGGUGACGUAUGUCUCGAUGAUAGUCCAGUUUGAUAAAAUGCCAAUAGGAGCAGGUCUGUGAAGCCAAUAUGAGCCGGUCAGUAAACUAGUGAUGCAGUCUCACUGUUCAUCGUCUCUAGACGCACCUAUAUGAUCCAUGUAUCUAGUUUCUCUCCAAAACUUGUGAUGCCUGCGUUGUGAUGAUCCGAGGAACUCUGCCUCUAUUUUGGAGAUCGCCCAUCUUUUGGAGACCGCUGAACUUUGAUUUGAACCGAUGAAUGUGUCUUUGUGAUCAGUCAUCCACUUUGUAAGAUUGUCAAAUCUCUGUUAAGCUAUCAGCAUAGAUGAAACUACUUGCUUGCUCUGCUUUA